AGAGUUUGAUCCUGGCUCAGGAUGAACACUAGCGGCAGGCUUAACACAUGCAAGUCGAAGGGCAUCGCGGGGAGUGCUUGCACUCCCUGGCGGCGACUGGCGCACGGGUGAGUAACACGUAUGCAACCUGCCCUCCACAGGGGGACAACCUUCCGAAAGGGAGGCUAAUCCCGCGUAAAUCUCGAUGGGGCAUCCCAUUGAGAGGAAAGCUUCGGCGGUGGAGGAUGGGCAUGCGGCGCAUUAGCUAGUCGGCGGGGUAACGGCCCACCGAGGCGACGAUGCGUAGGGGUUCUGAGAGGAAGGUCCCCCACACUGGUACUGAGACACGGACCAGACUCCUACGGGAGGCAGCAGUGAGGAAUAUUGGUCAAUGGGCGGGAGCCUGAACCAGCCAAGCCGCGUGAGGGAAUAAGGCCCUAUGGGUCGUAAACCUCUUUUGUCGGGGAACAAAAGCGGGGACGCGUCCCCGUCUGCGUGUACCCGAAGAAAAAGCAUCGGCUAACUCCGUGCCAGCAGCCGCGGUAAUACGGAGGAUGCGAGCGUUAUCCGGAUUUAUUGGGUUUAAAGGGUGCGUAGGCGGUAUGGUAAGUCAGCGGUAAAAGCCCGGGGCUCAACCCCGGCGAGCCGUUGAAACUGCCGUGCUAGAGAGGAAGAGAAGUAGGCGGAAUGCGCAGUGUAGCGGUGAAAUGCUUAGAUAUUGCGCAGAACUCCGAUUGCGAAGGCAGCCUACCGGCUUCUGUCUGACGCUGAGGCACGAAAGCGUGGGUAUCGAACAGGAUUAGAUACCCUGGUAGUCCACGCAGUAAACGAUGAAUGCC
This 818-nucleotide ribosomal RNA is filed under the name uncultured bacterium. RNAcentral's name for it is "bacterial SSU rRNA". It matches the Rfam family "Bacterial small subunit ribosomal RNA", at positions 8 to 817 of the family's 1533-position model. The record is from RNAcentral.